Molecule: ribosomal RNA, 460 nt
Filed under: uncultured bacterium
Lineage: Bacteria
Description: partial 16S ribosomal RNA
Rfam family: Bacterial small subunit ribosomal RNA
Source: RNAcentral
CCUACGGGCGGCAGCAGUGAGGAAUAUUGGUCAAUGGACGAGAGUCUGAACCAGCCAAGUAGCGUGAAGGAUGACUGCCCUAUGGGUUGUAAACUUCUUUUGUAUGGGAAUAAACUCUUCCACGUGUGGGUUUUUGUAUGUACCAUAUGAAUAAGGAUCGGCUAACUCCGUGCCAGCAGCCGCGGUAAUACGGAGGAUCCGAGCGUUAUCCGGAUUUAUUGGGUUUAAAGGGAGCGUAGGUGGAUUGUUAAGUCAGUUGUGAAAGUUUGCGGCUCAACCGGAAAAUUGCAGUUGAAACUGGCAGUCUUGAGUACAGUAGAGGUGGGCGGAAUUCGUGGUGUAGCGGUGAAAUGCUUAGAUAUCACGAAGAACUCCGAUUGCGAAGGCAGCUCACUGGACUGCAACUGACACUGAGGCUCGAAAGUGUGGGUAUCAAACAGGAUUAGAUACCCCAGUAGUC